This 616-nucleotide ribosomal RNA is filed under the name Exophiala lacus. Its description in RNAcentral is "eukaryotic LSU rRNA". The stretch from base 229 to 383 matches the Rfam family "5.8S ribosomal RNA". The record is from RNAcentral. Lineage: Eukaryota; Fungi; Ascomycota; Eurotiomycetes; Chaetothyriales; Herpotrichiellaceae.
GUACAAGUCUCCGUAGUGAACCUGCGGAGGGAUCAUUACCGAGUUAGGGUCUCACCGGCCCGAUCUCCCAACCCGUUGUCUACUUGACCAUCGUUGCUUCGGCGAGCCCGUCCUCAUGGACCGCCGGGGGGCCUUCGUGCCCCCGGGCCCGCGCUCGUCGAUAGCCCCCCAUUUAAAAUCUUAAUUAAACGUGUCUUGAAUCUAAGUAUUAUUGUUAAAUAAAAACAAAACUUUCAACAACGGAUCUCUUGGUUCUGGCAUCGAUGAAGAACGCAGCGAAAUGCGAUAAGUAAUGCGAAUUGCAGAAUUCCAGUGAGUCAUCGAAUCUUUGAACGCACAUUGCGCCCUUUGGUAUUCCGAAGGGCAUGCCUGUUCGAGCGUCAUUAUCACCCCUCAAGCCCCUCGGCUUGGUGUUGGACGGUUUGGCGGCGACCUGUUACAGGCCUCCACCCCUCCCAAAGACAAUGACGGCGGCCUCGUUGGACCCCCGGUACACUGAGUUCUUCACGGGACACGUAUCGGACACACGGGUCUACGGGACACGGUCUGCCUCCCCUCAGGGAGAAUCUUCUAUCAAGGUUGACCUCGGAUCAGGUAGGGAUACCCGCUGAACUAA